This 21-nucleotide non-coding RNA is filed under the name Arabidopsis thaliana (thale cress). The record is from RNAcentral. Lineage: Eukaryota; Viridiplantae; Streptophyta; Magnoliopsida; Brassicales; Brassicaceae.
UGACACUAUUUUAGGAUUGCA